AAGUGUGCCCAAGGGACAGAGUGGUUGUCACCUUUAAGUAUAACAGCCUGACAGUUGUGCUACUGCAAGUCUUCCUCCUUGUUCAGCUUGAAAUUUUUAUCCCAGUACAGCGUGGAUCUGGGCUCUGGGAUGAGGAAGAGGAGUCUGGGAGGCAGCCAGUGCUGCUCUGACUCACCACCUGCAGAGGAAGUGAUCUGCGAGCAGGGCAGGAGACAGGAUCACGGGAGAUGCAGGUGGAAGUCUGUGCCUCGACACGCGCCUUGGUGCCAGCUAUCCAGAAGGACAGAGCAGGAGAGGAGAGGAAGAUAGCGGCGGAGAACACAAAGCCAGGGCUGACUGCUGUGGUGAAAGCCCAACUGGAACCAGUGGUGUUCCAAAUGGACAAAAACCAAUGCAGAUCCACACCCAGAAUGGCAAUGUGUAAAACUGGAUGCAAGUUCUACAGAAAACUGCUAAAGUGAGUAGUAGUCGCCUGUCACUGAUGGAUAUAGUUAUGUAAGAACACAUACGUGAAGUGACAGUUCAUUACCAUGAAUGCAUCUUCCACAGCAAAUCACCAUGAGGACAAGUAUUCUAUUCUGAGGCACAGAGAAACGUACAUGAAACCUCUGUUUUUCCCCUCUAAGUUUAAAGGGUAUUUUGUUCAUAGAAAAUUCUCUGUAUCAUGAAUGUGAGAUAGACUAAUAGACAAAAAACUCAAAUCAUACUCUUGAAAUAAUCACUGCUGUGAAUCAGCUGCUUUGUCUCAGAAGAAUAGAUGAAUAAUUGCUACAGUGAGAGGUUGAAACUUGACUUGAGCCCAUGUACUUUGUAAAUAGAGGUUUUCUUUAAAGUUGGUUGUUAAAAUGUUGUAAGGUAAUAAAAGCUAGUACAUUUUCU
This 879-nucleotide long non-coding RNA is filed under the name Anser brachyrhynchus (Pink-footed goose). Its description in RNAcentral is "lncRNA (ENSABRG00000007142.1)". The record is from RNAcentral. Lineage: Eukaryota; Metazoa; Chordata; Aves; Anseriformes; Anatidae.